RNAcentral lists this ribosomal RNA (280 nucleotides) under uncultured Hyphomicrobiales bacterium. RNAcentral describes it as "uncultured Rhizobiales bacterium partial 16S ribosomal RNA". It matches the Rfam family "Bacterial small subunit ribosomal RNA", at positions 503 to 781 of the family's 1533-position model. Lineage: Bacteria; Pseudomonadati; Pseudomonadota; Alphaproteobacteria; Hyphomicrobiales. The record is from RNAcentral.
UUGUGCCAGCAGCCGCGGUAAUACGAAGGGGGCUAGCGUUGCUCGGAAUCACUGGGCGUAAAGGGCGCGUAGGCGGCCAUUUAAGUCNGGGGGUGAAAGCCUGUGGCUCAACCACAGAAUUGCCUUCGAUACUGGGUGGCUUGAGUCCGGAAGAGGUUGGUGGAACUGCGAGUGUAGAGGUGAAAUUCGUAGAUAUUCGCAAGAACACCGGUGGCGAAGGCGGCCAACUGGUCCGGAACUGACGCUGAGGCGCGAAAGCGUGGGGAGCAAACAGGAUUAG